CGCGGGGUAGAGCAGUUGGUAGCUCAUCGGGCUCAUAACCCGAAGGUCGUUGGUUCAAAUCCUUCCCCCGCAACCA
This 76-nucleotide transfer RNA is filed under the name gut metagenome. Its description in RNAcentral is "tRNA-Met". It matches the Rfam family "tRNA". From Rfam's summary of the family: Transfer RNA (tRNA) molecules are approximately 80 nucleotides in length. Their secondary structure includes four short double-helical elements and three loops (D, anti-codon, and T loops). Further hydrogen bonds mediate the characteristic L-shaped molecular structure. tRNAs have two regions of fundamental functional importance: the anti-codon, which is responsible for specific mRNA codon recognition, and the 3' end, to which the tRNAs corresponding amino acid is attached (by aminoacyl-tRNA synthetases). tRNAs cope with the degeneracy of the genetic code in two manners: having more than one tRNA (with a specific anti-codon) for a particular amino acid; and 'wobble' base-pairing, i.e. permitting non-standard base-pairing at the 3rd anti-codon position. The record is from RNAcentral.